UACAGAGGGUGCAAGCGUUGUUCGGAAUUAUUGGGCGUAAGGCGCGUGUAGGCGGCUUUGCAAGUCGGGUGUGAAAGCCCUCAGCUCAACUGAGGAAGUGCGCCCGAAACUGCAGAGCUUGAGUGCCGGAGAGGGUGGCGGAAUUCCCCAAGUAGAGGUGAAAUUCGUAGAUAUGGGGAGGAACACCGGUGGCGAAGGCGGCCACCUGGACGGUAACUGACGCUGAGACGCGAAAGCGUGGGUAGCAAACAGG
RNAcentral lists this ribosomal RNA (253 nucleotides) under uncultured bacterium. RNAcentral describes it as "partial 16S ribosomal RNA". It matches the Rfam family "Bacterial small subunit ribosomal RNA", at positions 524 to 776 of the family's 1533-position model. The record is from RNAcentral.